UACGUAGGGGGCGAGCGUUGUCCGGAUUUAUUGGGCGUAAAGAGCGUGUAGGCGGCCAGGUAGGUCUGCUGUGAAAACUGGAGGCUCAACCUUCAGAGGUCGACCGAAACCAUCUGGCUAGAGUCCGGGAGAGGAGAGUGGAAUUCCUGGUGUAGCGGUGAAAUGCGCAGAUAUCAGGAAGAACACCCGUGGCGAAAGCGGCUCUCUGGAACGGUACUGACGCUGAGACGCGAAAGCGUGGGGAGCGAACAGG
This 253-nucleotide ribosomal RNA is filed under the name uncultured bacterium. RNAcentral describes it as "partial 16S ribosomal RNA". It matches the Rfam family "Bacterial small subunit ribosomal RNA", at positions 524 to 776 of the family's 1533-position model. The record is from RNAcentral.